RNAcentral lists this microRNA precursor (91 nucleotides) under Otolemur garnettii (small-eared galago). Its description in RNAcentral is "miRNA (ENSOGAG00000029356.1)". Lineage: Eukaryota; Metazoa; Chordata; Mammalia; Primates; Galagidae. The record is from RNAcentral.
AGAAGAGCUGGACUAGUACUGGUCCCUGCAGGCUGAGGAGAGUGCCGCGGUGGUCACCUCACAGUCUGCUGAGGUCGGAGCUGCUGACAUG